GGGGAAUCUUGCGCAAUGGGCGAAAGCCUGACGCAGCCAUGCCGCGUGAAUGAUGAAGGUCUUAGGAUUGUAAAAUUCUUUCACCGGGGACGAUAAUGACGGUACCCGGAGAAAAAGCCCCGGCUAACUUCGUGCCAACAGCCGCGGUAAUACGAAGGGGGCUAGCGUUGCUCGGAAUUACUGGGCGUAAAGGGCGCGUAGGCGGAUCGUUAAGUCAGAGGUGAAAUCCCGGAGCUCAACUUCGGAACUGCCUUUGAUACUGGCGAUCUUGAGUGUGAGAGAGGUAUGUGGAACUCCGAGUGUAGAGGUGAAAUUCGUAGAUAUUCGGAAGAACACCAGUGGCGAAGGCGACAUACUGGCUCAUGACUGACGCUGAGGCGCGAAAGCGUGGGGAGCAAAC
Molecule: ribosomal RNA, 400 nt
Filed under: uncultured bacterium
Lineage: Bacteria
Description: bacterial SSU rRNA
Rfam family: Bacterial small subunit ribosomal RNA
Source: RNAcentral